RNAcentral lists this ribosomal RNA (459 nucleotides) under uncultured bacterium. Its description in RNAcentral is "partial 16S ribosomal RNA". It matches the Rfam family "Bacterial small subunit ribosomal RNA", at positions 338 to 795 of the family's 1533-position model. The record is from RNAcentral.
CCUACGGGAGGCUGCAGUGAGGAAUAUUGGUCAAUGGCCGGAAGGCUGAACCAGCCAUGCCGCGUGAAGGUCAGUGCCCUAUGGGUUGUAAACUUCUUUUAUAAAGGAAUAAAACGAGGCACGUGUGCCUUUUUGCAUGUACUUUAUGAAUAAGGAUCGGCUAACUCCGUGCCAGCAGCCGCGGUAAUACGGAGGAUCCGAGCGUUAUCCGGAUUUAUUGGGUUUAAAGGGAGCGUAUAUGGGUUGUUAAGUCAGUUGUGAAAGUUUGCGGCUCAACCGUAAAAUUGCAAUUGAUACUGGCAGUCUUGAGUACAGUUGAGGUAGGCGGAAUUCGUGGUGUAGCGGUGAAAUGCUUAGAUAUCACGAAGAACCCCGAUUGCGAAGGCAGCUUACUAAACUGUGACUGACAUUGAUGCUCGAAAGUGUGGGUAUCAAACAGGAUUAGAUACCCCAGUAGUC